Molecule: ribosomal RNA, 446 nt
Filed under: uncultured bacterium
Lineage: Bacteria
Description: partial 16S ribosomal RNA
Rfam family: Bacterial small subunit ribosomal RNA
Source: RNAcentral
CCUACGGGUCGCAGCAGUCGAGAAUCAUUCACAAUGGGGGAAACCCUGAUGGUGCGACGCCGCGUGGGGGAAUGAAGGUCUUCGGAUUGUAAACUCCUGUCAUGUGGGAGCAAAUUAAAAAGAUAGUACCACACGAGGAAGAGACGGCUAACUCUGUGCCAGCAGCCGCGGUAAUACAGAGGUCUCAAGCGUUGUUCGGAAUCACUGGGCGUAAAGCGUGCGUAGGCUGUUUCGUAAGUCGUGUGUGAAAGGCGCGGGCUCAACCCGCGGACGGCACAUGAUACUGCGAGACUAGAGUAAUGGAGGGGGAACCGGAAUGCUCGGUGUAGCAGUGAAAUGCGUAGAUAUCGAGAGGAACACUCGUGGCGAAGGCGGGUUCCUGGACAUUAACUGACGCUGAGGCACGAAGGCCAGGGGAGCGAAAGGGAUUAGAUACCCUAGUAGUC